Non-coding RNA from Oncorhynchus mykiss (rainbow trout), 231 nucleotides. The record is from RefSeq and is a predicted model, not a curated record. Lineage: Eukaryota; Metazoa; Chordata; Actinopteri; Salmoniformes; Salmonidae.
AGGUAGAGAAGAGGUUAGUGUCCUCCAUGUUGUUCAGGUAGAGAAGAGGUUAGUGUCCUCCAUGUUGUUCAGGUAGAGAAGAGGUUAGUGUCCUCCAUGUUGUUCAGGUAGAGAAGAGGUUAGUGUCCUCCAUGUUGUUCAGGUAGAGAAGAGGUUAGUGUCUUCCAUGUUGUUCAGGUAGAGAAGAGGUUAGCGUCCUCCAUGUUGUUCAGGUAGAGAAGAGGUUAGCGU